UGGCAAGUUGUCCUUCGGCUACA
Molecule: non-coding RNA, 23 nt
Filed under: Arabidopsis thaliana (thale cress)
Lineage: Eukaryota; Viridiplantae; Streptophyta; Magnoliopsida; Brassicales; Brassicaceae
Source: RNAcentral